AUUGAACGCUGGCGGCAUGCCUUACACAUGCAAGUCGAACGGCAGCACGGGUGCUUGCACCUGGUGGCGAGUGGCGAACGGGUGAGUAAUAUAUCGGAACGUACCUUAUUGUGGGGGAUAACGCAACGAAAGCUGUGCUAAUACCGCAUAAUCCCUAAGGGGGAAAGCGGGGGACCGUAAGGCCUCGCGCAAUUAGAGCGGCCGAUACCUGAUUAGCUAGUUGGUGAGGUAAAGGCUCACCAAGGCAACGAUCAGUAGCUGGUCUGAGAGGACGAUCAGCCGCACUGGGACUGAGACACGGCCCAGACUCCUACGGGAGGCAGCAGUGGGGAAUUUUGGACAAUGGGGGCAACCCUGAUCCAGCAAUGCCGCGUGAGUGAAGAAGGCCUUCGGGUUGUAAAGCUCUUUUGUCAGGGAAGAAACAGCAGCUCUAACACAGUUUGCGAAUGACGGUACCUGAAGAAUAAGCACCGGCUAACUACGUGCCAGCCGCCGCAGUAA
RNAcentral lists this ribosomal RNA (501 nucleotides) under uncultured bacterium. RNAcentral describes it as "partial 16S ribosomal RNA". It matches the Rfam family "Bacterial small subunit ribosomal RNA", at positions 30 to 523 of the family's 1533-position model. The record is from RNAcentral.